RNAcentral lists this ribosomal RNA (497 nucleotides) under uncultured bacterium. RNAcentral describes it as "partial 16S ribosomal RNA". It matches the Rfam family "Bacterial small subunit ribosomal RNA", at positions 28 to 507 of the family's 1533-position model. The record is from RNAcentral.
GAUGAACGCUGGCGGCGUGCCUAAUACAUGCAAGUCGAGCGAACGGACGAGAAGCUUGCUUCUCUGAUGUUAGCGGCGGACGGGUGAGUAACACGUGGAUAACCUACCUAUAAGACUGGGAUAACUUCGGGAAACCGGAGCUAAUACCGGAUGAUAUUUUGAACCGCAUGGUUCAAAAGUGAAAGACGGUCUUGCUGUCACUUAUAGAUGGAUCCGCGCUGCAUUAGCUAGUUGGUAAGGUAACGGCUUACCAAGGCAACGAUGCAUAGCCGACCUGAGAGGGGGAUAGGCCACCCGGGAACGGAGACACGGUCCAGACUCCGACGGGAGGCAGCAGUAGGGAAUCUUCCGCAAUGGGCGAAAGCCUGACGGAGCAACGCCGCGUGAGUGAUGAAGGUCUUCGGAUCGUAAAACUCUGUUAUUAGGGAAGAACAUAUGUGUAAGUAACUGUGCACAUCUUGACGGUACCUAAUCAGAAAGCCACGGCUAACUACGUG